This is a long non-coding RNA of Loxodonta africana (African savanna elephant), 9875 nucleotides long. RefSeq lists it as uncharacterized. Lineage: Eukaryota; Metazoa; Chordata; Mammalia; Proboscidea; Elephantidae. The transcript has 8 exons. The record is from RefSeq and is a predicted model, not a curated record.
AAGGGGAGCGGGUCUACAGGGGCGGGGGCACCCGGGCGGGGCCAGAGGGACGAGAGCCCGGAAUGACCCUGCGCAACAGGCGGUGUACAAGCCCCCCGCGCCCUGUGCAGAGAGAGGAAACGAAGUGGGGACAUCCGAGGAGCCCAGCCCCGGGGGAAUGGAAGUCAUGCAGUCUGUCAUCAGCCCAUACUAUGGACAAGACACUGUGCUGUGCUCGGAAACCACCGGCAGCCGCACUGAAAGGAGGCAGAUUAAGGUGGGACCAAUCCCUAGAGAAGGACAUCAUGUUUGGUAAAGCAGAGGAUCAUCAAAAAAGAGGAAGACCCUCAACAAAGUGGAUUGACACAGUGGCUGCAACAGUGGGCUCAACCAUAGCAACAAUUGUGAGGAUGGCCCAGGGCUGCUGGGCAACAUUUCUUUCUGUUACACAUAAGGUCCCGAGAGACAAAGGGAUGUCCCCACUUUCGCCAAACAUCUGGAGCUGUAGCAGGAGCCCCCUGGUUAAACAGCCCGGAGGAGAUGGCAGAGGACUAACUUAUCAGAAGCUGAUUGGAGGACAUUAUUUAAAAACCGAGUGCGUGGUGGUCAGGAACGUAGGUGGAGAAGAGGAGGAGCCAGAAGCAUUUCUUUCCUCAGCUUCUGCUUCCAAACGGCCCUGGGACUGCACCAAACCAAACUCAUUGCCAUCGAGUCCGUUCAGACUCACAGCAAACCUAUAGGCCAGAGUAGAACUGCCCCACAGGGUUUCCAAAUCUUUAUGGGAGCAGACUGCCACAUCUUUCUCCUGUGGAGCAGCUGGUGGGUUCCCAAUCUUUAGGUUCGCGUGUGAGGGCUUAACCACUGUGCCCCCAGGGCUCCCAUCCUCGGACUACAUGGCCCAUAAAUUAUCAGUUCCAGGUUAAGAAGGCCCCCAGAGAUGGCAGAGGCCUGAAUGCACCACAAACCAGGAAAUAAGUUCAGCAGACCAAACCCACCCAGUGGUACCACGGAAGAAAGGCCUGGAAUGGUCAAUAAAACACAGAUGCCUCCGAGUCAUCUUCAACUCAUAGCAACCCUGUGUACAAGAGAAGGAAACACUGCUCGGUCCUGCGCCAUCCUCACAAUUGUUGUUACGCUUGAGCCCAUUGCUGCAGCCACUAUGCCAAUCCAUUUCAUUGAGGGUCUUCUGCAUUUUUGCUGACCCUCUACCUUACCAAGCAUGAUAUCUAAUACCUCCUGACAACAUGACCAAAGAAUGUGAGACGAAGUCUUGCCAUCCUUGCCUUUAAGGAGCUUGCUGACUAUACUUCUUCCAAGACAUUUGUUCGUUCUUCUGGCAGUUCAUGCUAUAUUUAAUAUUCUUCACCAACACCAUAAUACAAAGGAAUCAAUUCGUCUUUCUUAUUCACUGUCCAGCUUUCCCACGCAUUUGAGGCAAUUGAAAACACCAUGACUUGGGUCAGGUACACCUUAGUCUUCAAGGUGACAUCUUUGCUUUUUAACACUUUAUAAGAGGCCUUUUGCAGCAGGUAUGCCCAAUGCAAUGCAUCUUUUGAUUUUCAUAAUCAAUGGGUGUUGAUUAUGGAUCCAAGUAAAAUGAAAUCUUGACAACGUCAACCUUUUCUCCAUUUAUCAUGAUGUUGCUUAUCGGUCCAGCUGUGAGGAUUUCUGUUUUCUUCAUGUUGAGGUGUAACCCAGACUGAAGGCUGUGGUCUUUGAUUUGCAUCAAUAAAUGCUUCAAGUCCUCUUCACUUUCAGCAAGCAAGGUUGCAUCAUCUGCAUAUCGCAGGUUGUUAAUGAGUCUUCCUCCAGUACUGAUGCUCCGUCCUUCUUCAUAUAGUCCAGCUUCUCAGAUUAUUUGCUCAGCAUACAGACUGAAUAAGCAUGGUGAAAGGAUACAAUCCUGACCCACACCUUUCCUGACUUUAAACCACUAAGUAUUCCCUUGUUCCGUUUGAAGAACUGCCUCUUGAUCUAUGUAUAGGUUCCUCAUGAGCACAAUUAAGUUUUCUGGAAUUCCCAUUCUUUGCAAUGUUAUAUACAUAAUUUGUUAUGAUCCACACUGUAAAAUGCCUUUGCAUAGUCAAUAAAACACAGGUAAACAUCUUUCUGGUAUUCUCUGCUUUUAGCCAGGAGCCAUCUGACAUCAGCAAUGAUAUCCCUGGUUCCAUGUCUUCUUCUGAAUCCAGCUUGAAUUUCUGGCAGUUCCCUUUCGAUGUACUGCUGCAGCCACUUUUAAAUCUUUAGCAAAAUUUUUCUUGCAUGUGAUAUUAAUGAUCAAUAGUUUCCGUAUUCGAUUGGAUUACUUUUCUUGGGGCUAGGCAUAAAUAUGGGUCUCUUCCAGUAGAUAGGCCAGGUAUCUGUCUUCCAAAUUUCUUGGCAUAGAUGAGUGAGCACUUCAGCACUGCAUCCAUUUUUUGAAACAUCUCAAUUGGUAUUCCUUCAAUUCCUGGAGCCUUGUUUUUCACCAAUGUCUUCAGUGCAGCUUGGAGUUCUUCCUUCAGUACCAUCAGUUCCUGAUCAUAUGCUAGUUCCUGAAAUGGUUAAAGCUCGACCAGUUCCUUUUGGUAUAGUGACUCUGUAUAUUCCUUUCAUCUUCUUUUGAUGCUUCCUGCAUCAUUUAAUAUUUUCCCUGUAGAAUCCUUCAAUAUUGCAACUCGAGGCUUGAAUUUUUUCUUCCGUUCUUUCAGCUUAAGAAAUGCCAAGUGUAUUCUUCCCUUUUGCUUUUCUAUCUCCAGGUCUUUUUACAUGUCAUUAUAAUACUUUACUUUGUCCUCUUGAGCCGUCCUUUGAACUCUUCUUUUCACCUCUUUUACUUCAUCAUUUCUUCCCUUUGCUUUAGCUACUCCACAUUCAAGAGCAAGUUUCAGAGUCUCUUCUGACAUCCAUUUUGGCCUUUUCUUUCUUUCCUGUGUUUUUAAUGACCUCUUGCUUUCUUCAUGUAUGAUGACCUUGAUGUCAUUCCACAACUCAUCUGGUCUUUUUGGUCACUAGUGAUCAAUGCUUCAGAUCUAUUCUUGAGACGGCCUGUAAUUCAGGUGGUGUAUACUCAAGGUCAUGCUUUGGCUCUUGUGGAUUUGUUCUACUUUUCUUCAGCUUCAACUUGAACUUCCAUAUGAGCAAUUGAUGGUCUGUUCCACAGUUGGCCCCUGGCCUUGUUCUGAUGAUUUUGAGCUUUUCCGUCAUCUCUUUCACAGACAUAGUCAAUUUGAUUCCUGUGUAUUCCGUCUGGAGAGGUUCACAUGUGUAGUUGCCGUUUAUGUUGUUGAAAAAAAUUUUUGCCACAAAGAAGUCUUUGGUCUUGCAAAAUUCUGUCAUGCAAUCUUCGGCAUUUUUUCUGUCACCAAGGCUGUAUUUGCCAACUACUGAUCCUUCUUCUUUUCCAGCUUUCACAUUCCGGUGACCAGUAAUUAUCAAUACAUCAUGACUGCAUGUUUAAUCAAUUUCAGACUGCAGAAGUUGGUAAAAACGCCUGCAAUUUCUUCAUCUUUGGCCUUAAUGUUGGUGCAUGAAUUUGAAUAAUAGUCAUAUUAACUGGUCUUCCUUGUAGGUGUAUAGAUACUGUUCUAUCACUGACAGCAUUGUACUUCAGGAUAAAUCUUGAAGUGUUUAUUUUGACCAUGAAUGCUACCCCAUUCCUCUUCAAUUUUUCAUUCCCGGCGUAGUAGACCAUAUGAUUGUCUGAUUCAAAAUGGCCAAUACCAGUCCAUUUCAGCUCAUGAAUAUCUAGGAUAUCAGUCUUCAAGUAUUGCAUUUCAUCUUUGACAACUUCCUAUUUUCCUUGAUUCAUAUUUCCUGCAUUCCAUGUUCUGAUUAUUAAUGGAUGUUUGCAGCUGUUCUCAUUUUGAUUUGUGCCACAUCAGCAAAUGAAGGUCCAGAAAGCUUGACUCCAUCCACGUCAUUAAGGUCAACUCUACUUUGAGGAGGCAGCUCUUCCCCAGUCAUCUUGUGAGUGCCUUCCAACCUGGGGGGCUUAUCUUCCCGCACUAUAUCAGAUGAUGUUCCGCUGCUAUUCAUAAGGUUUUCAGGGGCUGAUGCUUUUCAGAAGUGGACUGCCGGGUCCUUCUUCCUAGCCUGUCUUAGUCUGGAAGCUCAGCUGAAACCUGUACACCGUGUGUGACUCUGCCUGUAUUUAAAAACAGGUGGCAUAGCUUCCAGUAUCACAGCAAAACGAAAGCCCCACAGUAUGACAAACUCACAGAAGUGUGGGGAAAUGGAAUUUUUAAGCAUUCAGAAAAGUUUUCAUUGUAAGAGAAAAGUAGAUCAGAGUUAACUACAUAAAAAAUUUGAUAAUUCAUUGUAUUGUUGUUGAAAAUAUACACUGCAGAACAUACACCAAUUCAACAAUCUCUGCAUGCACAAUUCAGUGACAUUGGUUACAAUCUUCAAGCUGUGCAACCAUUCUUACCCUCCUUUUCUGAAUUGUUCUUCCCCCAUUAACAUAAACUCACUGCCCCCUAAGCUUUUUAUCUAAACUUUCAAGUUGCUGUUGUCAAUUUGAUAACUACAUAAAAAUUUUAAACUGCUAUAUAUAUUAAAGAUAUAGUAUACUAUAUUAAGUUACUAUAUUAAUUAGAUUAAAGUGUGUGGAUUACCCCUUAACAUAAAGAAAACAAAAAUCCUUACAACUGGACCAAUAAGCAACAUCAUAAUAAACGGAGCUCAGCUGCUAACCAAAAGGUCGCAGUUUGAAUCCACCAGUCACUCCUUGGAAACCCUAUGGGGCAGUUCUACUCUGUUUUAUAGGGUCACUAUGAAUUGGAAUCAACUUGACAGCAAUGGGUUUGUUUUGUUUUGUUUUUUUGAUGAGUCAACAGCAUACAAGUGUACUGGAGCUGGCUCCUUCUGCCUUACAAAAGGCUAUUGUUAAACUUUGAAAAAUUUUACAGACUGCUUUUUAAACAGUUGGAAGCUUCCAGUCAGCCCUGGUGGAAGCAUUUACCCCAUAGAAAUCUGCAAACACUGCAAACACCCCACUAGCCCACCCCCCAGGGAGGCCACCACCAUCCUUAAGUAGUUAGAUUGGGUUUUUCUGUCACUAGCAAUCCAGAGAAUCUUGGGUAAUGAAGCCAGAGAGUGUGAGAGCACCCAAAUCUCUCCUAAGACCAAAGCCACCAGUCCCCGGGGAUCCCCAAGAAAGGCAGAAGCCCAAGGAGCAAUGCCAAAAAGACCUUUAUCAUUAAACGCCCCAAACCUCCAAGCAGAACUCUUGUGCAGACAACCGCCCUGCACAGCCACAGCUAGACACUUAGGGGUCUGCCCUUUCCCUCAGCCUGAAUCUUGGGUCAGCCCGCCUGCCACAUGGAAGAAGAGAAAGCAAAGGACAUGUCUGGACCUUCUGUAGGGCUCAUGCGCUGGGUCAGCUUUUCCCUCGGCAUUGGGGUGGGAAGCAUUCAAUAGAUUGACUGAAAAAAGAGAAAUUAUACCUAUUUCUGGUGUUCCUGGGUGGUGCAAAUGGUUAACUCACCCAGCUGCUAACCAAAAAGUUAGAAGUUCAGUUCCACUCAGAGGCACCUUAGUAGAGAGGCCUGGUCAUCUGCUUCCAAAAAAAUCAGCCAUUGAAAAUUCUAUGGAGCACAGUUCUACUCUGGCAUACACAGGGUCACCAUGAGUCAGAGUCAAGUCCACAGCAAUUGGUUUAUACUUAUUUCCAGACUUCUUUGUGCCUGGUGAGUCUGCCAACUGGCAUAGGUGACCCAAUGAGUGCCUGGCAUCAGGCUAAUCAUAUUCCUCCCUCUCCUGGAAAAAUAAAACAGGAAAGGGGGUGUAAGGGAAGAGUCUGAAAAUAGAAGCCUCUUCCAGAUGCCUUCAGAAUCAUUUUGGCAACAAGUAGGAGCAUUAAAAUUGUUCAUACAUUCUACAUCAGUGAUUUCAUUUCUGGGAAUCGUUUCUAAAGAAAUACUACAAAAGAAAGGGAAAGGUUUAUGUACAAACUUGUUGAUUACUCAGUUAGUUUAAAUAGGAAAAAAAACUGGAAGCCACACGAAUGUCUAACAAUAGGGAAGAUUAAAUAAAUUAUAAUACGUUCACUCAGUUAAAUGUAUCAUAGUCAUUAAAAACUGUUUUGUAGAAAAAAAUAAUAAAAUGGAAAAAAUUCUCACCUUAACUAAAUAAAAAUUAGGAUUUAAAUUUCAUAUCCAGAAUGUCUGGUAAUAUAAAGAAGAAAAAAAGGCAAACUAUGCACUGACUGAAAAAAAAAAAACUCCAACAUGUUAACUGAUUUUCUUCACAUGGUAGAUCUAUUGAUGGUUUUUAAUUUACUUUUCUCUGUAUUUUCUAAAUUGUAUUCAGUAAGCAUAUAUUGCUUAUAUAAUAAUAAUGGCUGCCAUUUAUUGAGCAUUACUGAGAAUUUACCAUGUGCCAGGCCCUCUGCUAAGCAUUUUUUACAGAUUUUUUUUUUUAAAUCUCCCAGUAGCCCUACGAGGUAGACACCUUAAUUAUCUCCAGUUUACAAGUGAAGAAACUGAAGUUUAGGGAUCCUCAGUACUUUGCCUAGAGUCUACUAGUAGGUAGAAGAGCCAGGAUUUAGAGCCCAGUCCACUUGAUUUCAGAGCCAAAGCCCACUGUCCACCUAUCCUACCCCUACCCAAUAACAAAAAGCAAAAACCAAAUCCAUUGCCAUGGAGUCAAUUCCUACUCAUAGUGACCCUAUAGGACAGAGUAGAACUGCCCCAUAGAGUUUCCAAGGAGCACCUGGUGAAUUGAACUGCCAACCUUUUGGUAAGCAGCUGUAGCUCUUAAUCACUACACCGUCAGGGUUUCCAACCCAAUAAGGAGAGAAAAUAAAUAAUUUAUAUAAAAUUUUUUUUUUUUAUACAUAUACAAGGAGCCCUGGUGACAUAGUGGUUAAGAGCUCAGCUGCUAACUAAAACGUCGGCAGUUCAAAUCCACCAGCUGCUCCUUGGAAACCCUGUGGGGCAGUUCUACUUUGUCCUAUAGGGUCUCUAUGAAUUGGAAUCGACUCGACAGCACACAACAACAACAUACAUAUAAAGUAGGAGCCUUGAUGGUAUAGUAGUUAAGAGCUACUGCAAGCUGUAGCUACUACUAAACAAAAGAUUGGCAGUUUGAAUCUACCCAGAGGCACCUUGGAAGAAAGGUUUGGUGAUCUACUUCCAAAAAAUCAGCCACUGAAAACCCUAUGGAGAACAGUCGUACUCUGACCUACGUGGGGUCACCAUUAGUCCGAAUUGAUUUUAUCGCUCUGGUUUACAUAUACAAUGGCCACAACAAUGGACUUAAACACACCAAUGAUCCUGAAGAUGGCACAGGACUAGACAACAUUUCAUUUUGUUAUACAUGUGGUCACCAUGAGUCGGAGCAAACUGGGUGGCAAUUACAACAAUGUACAUAUAAUGUACAUUCAUAUCGAAGAAGAAUAACUUCUUUUAAGUAGAAGAUCCAUUCUUUGGGGCUAGUUCAAGGAUUGCCUUUUUCUUGAGAAUAUCUGCUUCUGUCCCCGAACUGUUCUUGAACUCCCAUGCUGGUAUUUAUUCCCUUUUGCUGACUCUUAUACUCUCCUCUAUUGUUUCCAUAUACAUAAGGUUAUACACUCAAAUAGACCAGGAAGCCUCCAGGGUAGGAAGAGUAUCUUCUUGCUCUGUCCUUCCCUCCUUUUCUUUCUUUCCUUCCUUCUGUACCCUAGAUGUCAGCUACAACCUCUCUGUACCAUAAGGUAAGAUAGAAAUCACCACAUCCAUAUCCAUAUCCUAAGGGAAGUUUAAAGGCUUUAUCCAAGAUUUCUGCAAAUUCCCUGGGAACUUACUGUCAGAAGUUUACUUUUUUAUGGUCCCUUCUGCCUCAAACUCCUAAUUCCACUGAACUAGCUCAUGCAGUAAAUGGUCUAGCCUUUCUGUCCUGAUCCAGAUGAAAACUCAGCCCCUCCUUGUUUUCUACAGAAAACUCACUCUAAUAAGGCAACUUGAAAGCAUAUACUUUAUUUUUUUUGUCUUUUUUAAAAAAUUGUGCUUAAUCGAAAGUUUACAGUUCAAGUUAGUUUCUCAUAUAAAAAUUUAUACACAUUGUUAUGUGACCCUAGUUGCUCUCCCUACUAUGUGACAGGACAUCCCUCCUUUCUACCCCGGAUUUCCCAUGUCCAUUCAACCAGCUCAUGUCCCUUUUUGCCUCCUCAUCUCACCUCCAGACAGGAGCUGCCCAUUUAGUCUCAUGUGUCUGCUUGAGCUAAGAAGCACUCUCUUCGCGAUUAUCAUUUUAUGUCUUAAAGUCCAAUAUGAUCUUUGCCUGAGGAAUUGGCUUCAGGAAUGGUUUCAGUUCUGGGCUAACAGAGAGUCUGGGGGCCAUGUCUUCUGGAGUCCCUCCAGUUUCAGUCAGACCAGUAAGUCUGGUCUUUUUACUAGAAUUUGAGUUCUGUACCCCACUUUCUCUGGCUCCAUCAGGGACUCUCUGUUGUGUCCCCUCUCAGGGCAGUCAUUGGUGGUAGCCAGGCACCAUCUAGUUCUUAUGGUCUCAGGCUAAUGGAGUUUCUGGUUUAUGUGCCCCUUUCUGUCUCUUGGGCUAAUAUUUUCCUUGUGUCUUUGAUGGUCUUCAUUCUCCUUUGCUCUAGAUGGGUUGAGACCAAUUGAUAUAUCUCAGAUGGGUGCUCGCUGGCUUUUAAGACCCCAGACACCACUCACCAAAAUGGGAUGCAGACCAUUUUCUUAAUAAACUUUAUUAUGCCAAUUAGCCUCGAUGUCCCCUGAAACCAUGGUCCCCAGACCCUCGCCCCUGCUACUCUGUCUCUCAAAGUGUCUGGUUGUGUUCAGGAAACUUCUUAGCUUUUGGUUUAGUCCAGUUAUGCUGACUUGCCCUGUACUGUGUGUUGUCCUUCCCUUCACCUUAGAUAAUUCUUAUCUACUAUCCAGUUAGUGAAUACCCCCUCUCCCUACCCUCAUAACCAUCAAAGAAUGUUUUUUUCUGUGUUUAAACCUUUUUUUGAGUUCUUAUAAUAGUGGUUUCACACAAUAUUUGUCCUUUUGCAUAGACUUUAUUAAAGAUAUUAGAUGCUGAGGACAGAUUUACAUUGCUGAAACUCCAAUUUCAACAUGAAUGUUGGACAUCCCUGUGAAAACCAAACCAAACUUUUUUGACACCAGGCCCCUGGAGAUGUUUUAUAUCUUGGCUGCUUUGCUUUACAUAAUAUCUCAUUAGAUGCUCUCUCUCUCUCCCUCCCUCCCCACAGCCUUCUGACUCUACCUCCAGCCCAUACCUGAACUUAAGUUCUUUCUUUUAUGCACAGUCAUUCAGCUUACUCAAGCCCCAACCCCCAUCUAGGCUCUGACCCUUCAGGGUGCCCAACUGAACAAAAGGACCUUUCAUUGAAGCAGAACCUGCUCUUCUUAUAAGGCGUUUGUGGUUGUAGAUAGCAAAGCUUUCAUUCCUUUCUGUUAAAUUUAAAUACAUAUAUUUAAUUAAGUACCAGCUUUGUGCCAGAUUCUGGAGACAUAAAAUUGAAAAAAAAAAAAAAAACACAGAAAGCAAUCUUAAAAAAUUCACAGUUUAUGGAGCAAAUAACCCCCAUCUCAGGUCACGGAUGCUGAAACAAAGGUGAAGGCAAAGGGAGUGGAGUAGUCUGUAAAUUUGGGCCCCUUGCAGUUCUAUUCUGACCAAUAGGGUUGCUAUGAGUCAGAAUAGACUCAACAGCAAGGGGUAUAGAUUCAAGGGCAGGAACCUGCAGGAGUCGAGUUCCUUUCUCUUGCCAUGUGUUAAAGCCCGUGUUUGCUUUUGUUAUGGAUUGAAUUGUGUUCCCCCAAAAUAUGUGUCAUAAAUCCUAACUCCUAUUUAAAAAAAAAAACAAACCCUCCUAUACCUGUGGUUAUAAUCCCAUUUGGGAAUGGGUUUUCUCUGUUAUGUUAAGAGGCCAUUUAAGUAUUGGGUGUUUUAACCUUUAAGAUCGAAAA